UCAGACGAUGCGUCAUGCAUAUCAAUAAGCGGAGGAAAAGAAACUAACAAGGAUUCCCCUAGUAACGGCGAGUGAAGCGGGAAGAGCUCAAAUUUGAAAUCUUAAAGGGUUUCCCUUUACGAAUUGUAGUUUAAAGAAGUGUUUUCUGUUGAGGUUUUGGUAAAAGUUCUUUGGAAUAGGACAUCAUAGAGGGUGAGAAUCCCGUAUUUGACCUUUACUUUCAACUUUGUGAUACACUUUCAAAGAGUCGGAUUGUUUGGGAAUGCAGUCCAAAAUGGGUGGUAAAUUUCAUCUAAAGCUAAAUAUUGGCGAGAGACCGAUAGCGAACAAGUACCGUGAGGGAAAGAUGAAAAGAACUUUGAAAAGAGAGUUAAACAGUACGUGAAAUUGUCAAAAGGGAAGCGUUUGACACCAGUGUUGUUUUUCUGAAAAUCAAUUAAAGAACUGUUUAUGCUAAGCUGUUUAGACUUUAUCAGCUAUCUGUUUAGUUUUGAGCUUUUCUUAAUGCACUUUUCAGUUAACAAGUCAACAUCAAUUUCUUUUGCUGUAAAAAAGCUUGAGGAAGGUGGCUUGAGAUUCGUCUUAAGUGUUUAUAGCCUCUUGCCUAUGCAGUCGGAGAGAUUGAGGUCUGCAGCGUAGAUCCUUCGGGGCUAAAUGCAUUUGUGCUAAGUUAUAGCAUUUUAUAGACAACUUGUUGACUAUGAUUUGUCUUGUAGCUUACUCGCUUAUGUUAUUUUACCUACGCUUAGGAUGUUGACACACGCGCGUGCUC
This 772-nucleotide ribosomal RNA is filed under the name uncultured Neocallimastigales. RNAcentral's name for it is "partial large subunit ribosomal RNA". It matches the Rfam family "Eukaryotic large subunit ribosomal RNA", at positions 18 to 642 of the family's 3401-position model. Lineage: Eukaryota; Fungi; Neocallimastigomycota; Neocallimastigomycetes; Neocallimastigales. The record is from RNAcentral.